ACCCAGCUAAGUCCCAAACAGGACGAAACGUGCGUCCUAGAU
Non-coding RNA from Schistosoma curassoni, 42 nucleotides. The record is from Rfam. NCBI's taxonomy places the organism in Eukaryota, Metazoa, Platyhelminthes, Trematoda, Strigeidida, Schistosomatidae.